AUUGAACGCUGGAGGCGUGCUUAACACAUGCAAGUCGUGCGAGAAAGGGACUUCGGUCCUGAGUAGAGCGGCGCACGGGUGAGUAACGCGUGGGUGAUCUCCCUUGGUGAUCGGGAUAACAGCGGGAAACUGCUGCUAAUACCGGAUAAUCUUCAUGUUUAACUUCAUGGGGUAAAGGUGGCCUCUGCUUGCAAGCUACCACAUCAAGAUGAGCCCGCGUCUCAUUAGCUAGUUGGUAGGGUAAUGGCCUACCAAGGCUACGAUGAGUAGCUGGUCUGAGAGGAUGACCAGCCACACUGGGACUGGAACACGGCCCAGACUCCUACGGGAGGCAGCAGUGGGGAAUAUUGCGCAAUGGGCGAAAGCCUGACGCAGCGACGCCUCGUGAGGGAUGAAGGUCUUCGGAUCGUAAACCUCUGUCAAGAGGGAAGAAACCCUUGGAUUCGAAUAGGGUCCUUGGCUGACGGUACCUCAAAGGAAGCACCGCUAAUUCCGUGC
RNAcentral lists this ribosomal RNA (498 nucleotides) under uncultured Desulfovibrio sp. RNAcentral describes it as "bacterial SSU rRNA". It matches the Rfam family "Bacterial small subunit ribosomal RNA", at positions 30 to 508 of the family's 1533-position model. The record is from RNAcentral. Lineage: Bacteria; Pseudomonadati; Thermodesulfobacteriota; Desulfovibrionia; Desulfovibrionales; Desulfovibrionaceae.